AAUAUCGUUCACAUAAGUUUGUUUAUUUUCGUUUAAAUUCGUUCGUUUUUCCGUUUGUGAACGAUAUUGUCGCGUUAGAUAGGUUCGAUAAUUUUUAUGUCAUGUUUGUAGAUAAAUUGUUAGGGUUAGAUAGGCCGGUGUUUUCCUCUAGAAGCGAAAAAGUGGUGCUGAAUCCAGUCUCGGCGGGUAUGUUGUGGUCGGCAGCCAUCGCGGGAUGAUCAGUUGAGCCUCGACCACGUUUUUGUCUCGCAAAAAAGCGAAGGUUGUGCCGCUUUGUGUUGUGUAAGUCCAACGAAGGUUGUUCCGUUGGCCUGUGGAUCGUGUACUGCUGGUUUGUGUUGCUCGCCGGAUUGGUAAGCAGUGUUCGCUACCCCGGCUAAUCGCCAAGGAGCAAAGGGAGAAGACACCACCCCGCCGGAGAUUGCUGCAGCAAGCGCUGUUGGAUACCGCCAGACCGACGUCGAGCAGCAGCAUCGCCGCAGCCUCCCCUUCCCACCACAAAACAGCAAGAGGAAAAGGACGGAAUAAACGCGGAUAAGGUUUUGUUUA
Molecule: long non-coding RNA, 549 nt
Organism: Wyeomyia smithii (pitcher-plant mosquito)
Lineage: Eukaryota; Metazoa; Arthropoda; Insecta; Diptera; Culicidae
Exons: 2
Source: RefSeq, a predicted model, not a curated record